This 825-nucleotide ribosomal RNA is filed under the name Albifimbria sp. Its description in RNAcentral is "LSU rRNA". It matches the Rfam family "Eukaryotic large subunit ribosomal RNA", at positions 74 to 935 of the family's 3401-position model. The record is from RNAcentral. Lineage: Eukaryota; Fungi; Ascomycota; Sordariomycetes; Hypocreales; Stachybotryaceae.
AUAGCCUCUGUAAUGGCGAGUGCAGCGGCCCCGCUCAAAUUUGAAAUCUGGCCCUAGGCCCGAGUUGUAAUUUGCAGAGGAUGCUUUUGGCAAGGUGCCUUCCGAGUUCCCUGGAACGGGACGCCAUAGAGGGUGAGAGCCCCGUCUGGUCGGACACCGAGCCUCUGUAAAGCUCCUUCGACGAGUCGAGUAGUUUGGGAAUGCUGCUCAAAAUGGGAGGUAUAUGUCUUCUAAAGCUAAAUACCGGCCAGAGACCGAUAGCGCACAAGUAGAGUGAUCGAAAGAUGAAAAGCACUUUGAAAAGAGAGUUAAAUAGCACGUGAAAUUGUUGAAAGGGAAGCGUUUAUGACCAGACUUGGCCCGGUUGAUCAUCCACCCUUCUGGGUGGUGCACUCUGCCGGUCCAGGCCAGCAUCAGUUCGCUCCGGGGGAUAAAGGUUUCGGGAAUGUAGCUCCUCCGGGAGUGUUAUAGCCCGUUGCGUAAUACCCUGGGGUGGACUGAGGUCCGCGCUCUGCAAGGAUGCUGGCGUAAUGGUCAUCAACGACCCGUCUUGAAACACGGACCAAGGAGUCGUCUUCGUAUGCGAGUGUUCGGGUGUAAAACCCCUACGCGUAAUGAAAGUGAACGCAGGUGAGAGCUUCGGCGCAUCAUCGACCGAUCCUGAUGUUCUCGGAUGGAUUUGAGUAAGAGCAUACGGGGCCGGACCCGAAAGAAGGUGAACUAUGCCUGUAUAGGGUGAAGCCAGAGGAAACUCUGGUGGAGGCUCGCAGCGGUUCUGACGUGCAAAUCGAUCGUCAAAUAUGGGCAUGGGGGCGAAAGACUAAU